CAUUGAAUCACCGGUUCCCGUACGAUCACUGAAGGUAGACAACUUCAAGCCUGUUCAGUACCUCGAUGGGUAGCCACUUGGUAAUACCAGGUGUUGUAAG
Molecule: non-coding RNA, 100 nt
Organism: Acanthosepion pharaonis
Lineage: Eukaryota; Metazoa; Mollusca; Cephalopoda; Sepiida; Sepiidae
Source: the annotation of a GenBank genome assembly